AACCAGGAUUAGAUACCCCAGUAUACUUAUUCUUAAGUUUUAAAGACUGGAUUAUUAGUAGUUAUAUUCUUGAAAUUCAAAGAAUUUGGCGGUAUCUUAAUCUUAUUAGAGGAACCUGUUUUAUAAACGAUAAACCACGAAGAAUCUUAUUUGUUUUAAAUAGUUUGUAUACCGUCAUUAUUAGAUAAUUUUGAGAAAAUCAAUUAUUGAAAUUAAAGUGAAUAAUUUUAAAUAUAUUAGAUCAAGGUGCAGCUUAUAGACAAGGAGAAAUGGGUUACAAUAGACUAGUUUAGACGGAAGUUACUCUUAUAAUGGGUUUCUGAAGGCGGAUUUAAUUGUAUAUUUAAGUUUAAUAA
RNAcentral lists this ribosomal RNA (356 nucleotides) under Paguristes puncticeps. RNAcentral's name for it is "partial small subunit ribosomal RNA". The record is from RNAcentral. Lineage: Eukaryota; Metazoa; Arthropoda; Malacostraca; Decapoda; Diogenidae.